This 407-nucleotide ribosomal RNA is filed under the name uncultured bacterium. RNAcentral describes it as "partial 16S ribosomal RNA". It matches the Rfam family "Bacterial small subunit ribosomal RNA", at positions 28 to 526 of the family's 1533-position model. The record is from RNAcentral.
GACGAACGCUGGCGGCGUGCCUAAUACAUGCAAGUAGGACGCAGUUGCGAACGGGUGAGUAAAGCGUAGGUAACUACCUAUUAGAGGGGGAUAACUAUUGGCAACGAUAGCUAAUACCGAAUACUACUAGAUGGACCUGCGUUGUAUUAGCUAGUAGGUAGGGUAAUGGCCUACCUAGGCAACGCUACAUAACAGAGCGGAGAGGGUGAUCGGCCACACUGGGACGGAGACACGGCCCAGACUCCGACGGGAGGCAGCAGUAGGGAAGCUUCGGCAAUGGGGGGAACCCUGACCGAGCAACGCCGCGUGAGGGAAGAAGGUUUUCGGAUCGUAAAGCUCUGUUGUUAAGGAAGCGGUACUUAACCAGAAAGGGACGGCUAACUACGUGCCAGCAGCCGCGGUAAUAC